This 398-nucleotide ribosomal RNA is filed under the name Yilgarniella sturtensis. RNAcentral describes it as "partial 28S ribosomal RNA". The record is from RNAcentral. Lineage: Eukaryota; Metazoa; Arthropoda; Malacostraca; Amphipoda; Chiltoniidae.
CUGCCCGAAAUGCUUGAGCACUGGCUAUCUGGGAUGUGGCUCUUGGGCCUUUUUGUGCCAUGUCACGGUGCCCUUUACAGGCGGGCACGUUCAUGGGCGUGUGGCACAUGGUUGCCCGCGCUCCUCUGAUGUGUCCGUGCUGGGUUAACCUAUCGAAGCAUCACACGGUAAUUGCCCACCACAGCUCGUUGCUUGGUCACCCGCUGGGUCUAAACGUGCAGGAUGCUCAUCCAGUGUCCGGACUGUCAAUGUUUUGGCGCGUGUAUGGGCGAUGCUACCGUACGGAGGGCUUUUCCGUGCGCGUACACGCUCGCGUCACGUCCGUGAUAUGUACUGGCUCUGACUGCCGACUUGUAGACGUGGUGUGAUCCAUUCGGCGACAAAGCUGGAAUUGGCCA